UACACAUGCCAAUUCUACUCAUAUUUCACUGGCAAGACCAAAUUACACGACCAAGACUGACAUUAACCUGGCAAAAUGACUGAAGGCCAGAGAAAAUUCACAAGCUUUCCAAGGAUAUACCCCAAUAUCCUGUAUCUUCAUCACACUAGAUUCCAAUGACAGCCUUCCAGUGUACUAUUUUCAUGAUUCAGAUCUUCUAGAAAACAGCAAGCCAAUUUCUAAAUUCCACAUGUUUAUAACUGCU
Long non-coding RNA from Talpa occidentalis (Iberian mole), 244 nucleotides. RefSeq lists it as uncharacterized. The record is from RefSeq and is a predicted model, not a curated record. The transcript has 4 exons. NCBI's taxonomy places the organism in Eukaryota, Metazoa, Chordata, Mammalia, Eulipotyphla, Talpidae.